ACCUGACUGGCUCAGUUGGUAGAGCACACAACUCUUGAUCUCAGGGUCAUGAGUUCAAGCCCCAUGUUAGGCA
Molecule: transfer RNA, 73 nt
Filed under: Ailuropoda melanoleuca (giant panda)
Lineage: Eukaryota; Metazoa; Chordata; Mammalia; Carnivora; Ursidae
Rfam family: tRNA
About the family: Transfer RNA (tRNA) molecules are approximately 80 nucleotides in length. Their secondary structure includes four short double-helical elements and three loops (D, anti-codon, and T loops).
Source: Rfam by way of RNAcentral